Molecule: long non-coding RNA, 3594 nt
Filed under: Mus musculus (house mouse)
Lineage: Eukaryota; Metazoa; Chordata; Mammalia; Rodentia; Muridae
Description: long non-coding RNA chr5:142458419-142462013
Source: RNAcentral
GAGCUAUCUCCCAAGCUCCCCAGCCAGUCAUUUCUGUAGUACUCGGCUUCAAGCCAGUGUUUUGGAGGUCUCCUGCCUAUUGCCUGGAAAGGUUCAGAGAAGUGGGGCUGGUGUGAUGGUGGCUGGGGGAGGGGUUUCCCCUCAGAGGGGGCAGAGGGCUGGCUCUGUCUCACAUCUUCCCUUGGUACCUGGCAUGAACUUCUCUCUGUGUGCCUGGUGUGAGCCUGGGGUUAGGGAAGAACGAAUGGGGUGGAGAUCUGAGUUGCGUAGUGGGCUGAGGUGACAAGGGACGUUGGUGCCAGCUGCUGAUCUUUCCCUCCAUCACCCUUUACUCCAGGGCUGUCCAUGGUCACCCUCCAAGGCAGAUUAAGAUUGUGGAUGGUCAUGAGCAGGUUGCUGUCCCAGUUCCUGAAACGUGGGCUCCGUGCUCUGAGGCAGAUCUUCACCAUUAACAGGGGCGUGGAAGGGUAUGGAGAGAGAGAGAGAACACACACUGUCCCGGUACACGGCCUGACGGCCUGGUUGGACAGCCUGAGCUACAAGGAGGCUAGACUAGUGCUGCUGCUCUGCGGAGUGGGUUUGGUCAUCUGCUGGGCAGAAGCUGGCACCAGAGCGUGCUCCCACAAGCUCUGAGCCAGGAGGGCCAUGUCCACGCACUGUGUGGCCCAUGGCUGGCAACCCUGGAGCACCCCACUAAGCCCUGGGUUGGGGGAACAAUUCAGGAACAGAUGUGAAGCCUUUAUAGACAAAGGAACCCCUUGGGCAGUGGUAAAACAGUGUAAGGUGGGGGUUAAAGGUCAGUGAAAUGUAAGAAGAAACCCUUCCCCAUAGAGAGAAACGGGUGGAUUGUUCCUGUUCUUCCUCAAAAUCCUCAAAUUUCAUAACACCCACGUGACAUUGCUCGCCCAGUCCCUCCCUCCCCAUCCGAACUGCACAGUGCCUGCUUAGAAUAAGUCAGAAAGGGGUGGCGUCUCAGCUCUAGUGAAAGGUCCCUCAUGUGUGGGAAACAUCACAUCCUGGCCAGGAGAGGCAAAGUCACCACAAAUGGCCACAGGGUACCCCGAGGCUAGGUCAGGGGGAACAGAGCGGCCACCUAUAUCCUCACCUCCGGUCUCCCAGAAUACCUCUGCUUAGAAGCAAUAUUAAAAAGGAUAAGUCAAGCUGUUCCAAAGAUUGCCACUGCAGACACCACUUCCCUUCAGAGCAGGCCCUCUGACAGGGACUUUGGCUUGCUGGGCCGGGUGGGCGGGGCAGAGAACAGAGGCCUUCUGCCUGCUGCUUCAGUCCUGCUCCCCAUUUAAUGCCCCCUUUCAUCUUGGGAGUUCUCAUGAACUCAGGGUGGGUCUUGCACCCACCUGCUUGUUGGGCUCUAGAUUGUUUUGUUUUGGGUUUUGUUUGUUUGGGUCUGUCCUGCAAGGUGAGCUACUAGGCCAGUGCUCUACCACUGGCUGUACUCCCAGCCAUUUUGAUUUUUUAAACUUGAGAUGGGACUCACAAAGCUGCCCAGGCUGGCCUUGAACUCCCAGUCCUCUUGCCUCAGCUUCCUGAAUUUCUGGGGUGAUGGCCUACAUGCUACCAUGGCCCAGCGCUGUUUGCGUUUUGUCUUUUUUUGUUUGUUUGUUUCUGUACCAAAAGCUGCUACACUGGUGACACAGCAGGGUGUGGCCUAGGUGCCCCCACAGACUGGCAUAUGGCACGUCUCUCUCUCUCUCUGCCCUCCCUAACCCCUAACGUCACAGCUGCUUGGCAAGGGAACAUUUUUGAACCAACCACAGAUGUUUCCUUAGGAAAAGUAGGUUUUCUACUCGUGGUGAAGAACAAAAGCCCCCUGAGUGGUCCUGGCUGCUCCUCUGCAUUGCCUCACUGCUCCAAGGUUCCCUCUAUCAGGCCUCAGCUCUACUGCAGGGAACAUUCUAGAACCUGCCCCCCACACACACACUCCCCCCCAUGGGCACGGGGCAUAACAGCCUGGGCAGGCCUGUCCCACAGAUGAGGCCAGCCGCAUGCCUUCUCCAGAGGUACCAUCUGGGCACGAGGCAGGACAGAGGAUGCUCGAAGGGAGGAAGCGGCCAGCUAGAGGGAGAGCAGUUUGGUAAGAGCUAAGGGGAGGUAAGCCGGUGGGACUGGAGGCUGAGGGCUGCCCUCACAGCUGGUGCCGAGCCAGCAGUGGUAAAGAUCCCUCAGUGAGGAGUCUGUCUGUCUGUCUGUCUCUGUGUGUGUGUGUGUGUCUCUCUCUCUCAAAAUACUUAGAGUGCUUCAGUCACAAUGAAAAGCAUGUGUUUCUGUACUUGGGCUAAGCUGUCAAACACAGGCUGCCUAGGGCCCCCAGGACCUCUUCCCCUAAGUCCUUGUCUGUGUGUGCACGCACACACACACACACACACACACACACACACACACACACACACACACGCACACCUGCCUUGUGAGAGUUAGAGGACUAGAAGGGCCUGCUGCUUUACCUCUGGAAUCCUGUUCCUGUGACUACUCACAGGUGACCAGUGUGGAGGAAUCUGGGGCCCAGGCACCCCAAAAGCCUGAGUGCAGACAGUGGCCAGGUGUGGUCCACAACCCCAUAUGUGAAGCACUUACCACCAUUAGAGCAACCUCAGCACUGUCCCCUGUGUCCCUGGGACUGGCUGACUCUGAGCUCCGUGACCCACUGAAUGUUCAUGUUCUCUGUCCUGUAUGUAUCCAAAUGGCACCUUGGCUUCUGAGUCUGAAUUUGCUGGCUUAGAACUUUUGUUUUUAAUUGGUAAAACUGGGAAUUCAAAAAUCUAAUAUUUUCAAUUUGGUCCCUCUCUCCCAUAGUCUCCUCUUAACGUCCUUCCUGGGUGGGAGGGGCAUUUGGGAUCCCUGAUAAUACCUUAGCUUGAUUCUUAGGCUGGGAAAAGGUGGUGGGGGUGGGGAGGGGUGACCCUAGCUGUUUUCCAGGUCUCUCCUUGGAUUCUGCUGUGUUCUUGGGGGGGGCGGGCAGCAGCUGUGCACGUGUGAGGGAGGGGCUAAAGCCAAUAGUGAGGCGGUUCUUUUUCUUAACUGAAUGAUAAUUCUGUAAAAGUAAUUGGGGGAGGGUCUUCAGGGAGUAUGUGUGUGUGUGCGUGCGUGAGAGCAUGUGUGAUUUUGUUUUGUUUCAUUUUUUACAGUGGCUGUCAAGUAUUUUCAUGAUAUGUUUAACACUUAGUGCUUUAAAAGCAGUGGUACCCAAUACGAUGGGAAUCCGAGUUCCAGAGAUGGGACGUGCCCCACCUCAGUGAGCGAAGGUCCCACUCUGGAGGCAGGGGUAAGAAAGGCCUGCGGACCCACACACCAAGCAGCAACACCUGGGCGUUCAUUUCAAACGGGAUACAGUAUUUUUUUAUAACAGAACCAUCCUUUUUUUAAACAAAAAGUUUUGACACCUGAAUGUGAUUUCUAACUAUUAUUAGACGUUAAUGUUUUAAAGCUAUAACAAAGUGGAAAUUUCUACUUUCUUUUUCAUUCAUUUGAACUGUUCUUUUAUCUAUUCGGUUGUUGUAUGUGGGUGGGGAAGCUCUGUUUUCUCCUCUUAGCAUUUGUUUCUAUAACCAGAAAUAAAAAUUAUAUAUUAAAGAGAUG